Molecule: ribosomal RNA, 255 nt
Filed under: uncultured bacterium
Lineage: Bacteria
Description: partial 16S ribosomal RNA
Rfam family: Bacterial small subunit ribosomal RNA
Source: RNAcentral
UACGGGGGGAGCAAGCGUUGUUCGGAUUUACUGGGCGUAAAGGGCGCGUAGGCGGUUGUGACAAGUCACCUGUGAAAUCUCCGGGCUUAACCCGGAAAGGUCAAGUGAUACUGUCGGACUAGAGUACAGAAGGGGCAACUGGAAUUCUCGGUGUAGCGGUGAAAUGCGUAGAUAUCGAGAGGAACACCUGCGGCGAAGGCGGGUUGCUGGGCUGAUACUGACGCUGACAGCGCGAAAGCUAGGGGAGCGAACGGG